Biomphalaria pfeifferi is the source of this 985-nucleotide non-coding RNA. The record is from the annotation of a GenBank genome assembly. NCBI's taxonomy places the organism in Eukaryota, Metazoa, Mollusca, Gastropoda, Planorbidae.
AAUCUUUCGCCUUAGAACCGGAGACAACAGAAUCAGACAUGUUCUAGAAGCUUAGAAUAGGAAUUGAUGAGAUUGGCUUUUUUUCUAACAGUAUAACUAAAUAAUCUGCAAUUCCUUGGAGAUAUAGUCAUGUUACAAACGUAAAAAAAGACAUUUGAGAAGGUUUAGAUAGAGCCAAAUAGAAGCUUGAAAACAGAAUUACAGAGGCGCCCCCCCCCCCCUUAUCGAAGUUACUAACGGACCAGGAAUAUUCAAACCAUAGUCUUCUUUUUGAUCGUUUUAAGUAUAAAAUAUUAAUUCUCUUAAGGGAGAAUAAUAAUAAUAAUAAUAAUAAUAAUAAUAAUAAUAAUAAUAAUAAUAUAAAAAUAAAAUUAAUUUUUCUAUUUAAAGUUUUAAUCUUAAAAAAAAUAAUUUUUAUCAAGCCUAAGUACUUUGUUAAUUACAAGUUGUUUUUUUCAUUAAGUUCAUUAAGUAACGUUCUCCAUUCAGACCAAGUGAUCUAUGGGGCAGUUUGUGGGUGUCAUGUGGCCAGCGAAACGACCAGCCACUUUUACUUUUCUUUAACUAAUGUCAGAUACCUCUUAGAGCUGGGUAAACUCAAAGGCGCUCUAAAGUUUCCAAAAGUCAGAAUCCCAGCCCUCCAGUUCGGAAGCUAAGCGCUUUACCACUCUGCCACAGUGCCUUCUAUAUAUUCAUUUAACGUACACUUGUAUUUCUUCAAAUAAUAUAUCUUAACCUUUUCCAUACAUUCAAAAUUAAUAAAAUGUUUCACUGAAUGGUCUACAGGGGCGUAACUAGGGAUUUGAAGGCCCGGGGGGAUUGACCACUUUGGGGGCCCCUUGCAUUUUGACAUUCGACAUAUGACAUGAGAUAAUGUACGCAAAAAUAUAUAAGCCCCAAAUCAAAUUGGUUCAGUAUAUCAGUAAACUUUUAAUGAAUAAUACCGUUGUUUAUUAGUUAAAUAAUGCAUAAGUGACAAAUCUAA